RNAcentral lists this long non-coding RNA (2710 nucleotides) under Numida meleagris (helmeted guineafowl). Its description in RNAcentral is "lncRNA (ENSNMEG00000003303.1)". The record is from RNAcentral. Lineage: Eukaryota; Metazoa; Chordata; Aves; Galliformes; Numididae.
AUGGGGUGCGAUGCAACACAUGCACAAACCGUAGAGUGCAGCGCAUGCACCAACCACCGGAUGCAAUGCAAUGCAUGCACAAGCCAUAAGGUGCAAUGCAAUGCACCAAUCAUAGGAUGUAAUGCAACACAUGCACUGACCGUGGGGCAGCAUGGGAGGGUGGGAGCACCCAGCAGACCCCGCCCCCCCCGGGGUGCAGCAGGAGCUGGGGGGGCCCUCAGCACCCAGCUGCCUUCGCAGCGGAGAGGGCUGGGAAUUUGCAGUGAGAGCAAGCCUCCUGCUUUCCGGCUGACACCACCACACCACAGCACGGAGACAGCAGCAUUGGUCGCCUGGUGCAGCAAAGCCCAGGGCCCCAUGGGGACCUCACCCCGACAUCUCCAUCACAGCCACAAAGCAGCACAGCCCACGGCCGGACCAGGAUCCAGGGGAUGCUUCUACCCACGCUGCAGCAGGGAUGGCUGGGGCUGCUCCUGGCACAGCACCACCUCCAGCACUCAGAUCCAAACGCCUUCGCGUGGAGCUGUGCUCUGCAGGAGGCUCGGUCCAUGCACGUGGAGCUGGGCCCUGUGCCUGGGGGUGGCACGAGGCCCAGUGACCCCUCACACUGAGCCACCCCGGGGCUGCGGCACCGAGGGCGCUGCCCCAUGGGGAGGUAGGAGCGGGUGGUUCCCCCAGAACCGAGGGCAGUUCUGUUUAAACAGAGAAGAAAUCAGGUCCCAGUUCAACGUCAGGCAGCGCUCUGCUCCGAGCGCAUCCCAUGGUGCCGGUGCCGGGCAGGGCAGGACCCCCAGCACCCAGUGCUACCAGCAGCUGCACAUCCCCAGCCCAACCAACCCAAGACCAGCCCUCACAUGGGGUGUGGGCUCCGGGCUCCGCUCAGGGUUUUGUGGCCAAUUUGGAUGAGAGCAAACGCUGCGCCCAAGCAGCAACCAUCACUGCCGGGCCGCGCUCCUGGCGGUGCCAUGGCAGCACGGAGCGCAGCGGUGUUAUCUCCCUCCCACAAACAGCCCCGGCCCCGGCCCCCCCCCCCCUCCCAAACAACAUCCACCCGAGAGCUGAGGCUCUGAGCGCAGCUCUUUAAUCUCCAGCAAGCCUUUGACAACCUGUCUCGUCCCGGCUUUUAGCUGUGCGAGAGCUGCUCGCUAAUGGAGCAUUAACCUUGGAGAGCUUCUGCAAUUACUCCAACACUAAUUCUGACAGUUUUUGGUGUAUCUGUUUGUUCUUUUGACAGGCAAAAGGAAUUUCUUUUUAAAGGCUGUUUGAUACAUUUGAGACCUUCUGUCCACAUCUCCCUUUUUUCUGCUGGAUGUGAAGGUGGGGGAGAGGAGCGGAGGUGGGGGGGGGGGGCUGUUUUCCUCCGCACACAUCAGCGGAGGUGCGAGCGGAGAUCUCUCCUCCCCCCCAGCCCCCUCUGCCCCGCGUUAAGUCACAGAAGCGUUUGGUCUCUCCUGACCUCAUUAGGGUAAUUAGUAAACCUUUUGAAGCUGGGAGAAUGGCUGCGAGCUGUGGGAAAGUGAGGAGAGCAAAGAGCUGUGAAAGGAGCGGGUGGGGGCAGGAAGGGGGAGAGGAGCGCCCACAGAGCACAGGGGGUGACCUGGGGCAGGGGGGGGGGACCCAAAAGGCUGGGGUGGGGGGGUCCCAGUGCCAGGGGGGGUCCCAGCCCCAGCCCCACACUGCGGCACCCGCCCACAGAGAGCAGCGGCCGUGGGCCCAGAGUUUGCACUCUGGCUGCGCUGUGACGUGGGAGGGGUGGGAGCGGACACGGCGCACACCCCCAGCGCUGCGCAGAGCCCCGGCUGCGGAAAAGGCGAAGUUAUAACGUGGGUAAAACGUCAGGUUUCAGCGCCCAGGGGGGUUUGGUCACAACCAGACGCAGGAGCGGUGCCGCUUGUUGGCAGAGAGAGGGGCGGCACGCGCUCAGCUCGGGCCGAGCAACGAACCAGUGAGGGCUAUUUCAAGCACACGAGGUUUUUCCCCUUUAAAAGAGCGAGAGUAAUUAACCAGCAGAGCGCAUGAGCCGUGCAGCGGGGACGCUCCAUCCGCCGGUGCCCUCGGACGAAGGUUGGCACCGCUUCCAGCAGAGCUCCAGCACGCAGCACUGGGGCCACCGUGCCUGCAGAUGGACGGGUACCCCCGACUGCAAAGAGAGCAAGGGACCCCACAGCUGGGGGUCACAGCGAGGGGACGUCGCCACGGGAGCGCGUUCCGGCCACGCUCGGUGCCGCUCUGUGCUCAGUUGGCAGCCACAACCCAAACCACGCACGCGGGAGCCAAAGGGUUCCUGGGAACCGGGCGCCGUGCCCCAGCAAUCAGCCCUGACGUGUUCCGGAUGCUAAUUAACACCGCCGGGAAUUCCUACCAGGCAGGGGUGUCCCAGCCCCCCCCCCCCCCCCCGGGAUCCCACAGCCACAGGCCUGGACCUGCUGGUUCGCACAGGUGGGCACCGCAGCCCCGGCCCCCCCUGAGCCCCCCGCUUUGAUCUGAUGAUGCGAAGCAGAGGACACCAAAAACGCGACACCUCGAGCCACUCGUGACGCCGGGGUCACCUUCCGCCUUCCCACGGACAGAGCCCCUUCAGUGCCCGCUCAGCCUUCGAUGGCAAAAAAAAAAACCCAAACCACAACAACUGCUGCGUGGGUUCCUCCUCCUCCAAUUAGCGCCCGCUCGUCUAAAUAAAUAAAUAAGGAACCAGAGGACGUGGUUCGCC